This 640-nucleotide ribosomal RNA is filed under the name uncultured Clostridium sp. RNAcentral describes it as "bacterial SSU rRNA". It matches the Rfam family "Bacterial small subunit ribosomal RNA", at positions 8 to 663 of the family's 1533-position model. Lineage: Bacteria; Bacillati; Bacillota; Clostridia; Eubacteriales; Clostridiaceae. The record is from RNAcentral.
AGAGUUUGAUCCUGGCUCAGGACGAACGCUGGCGGCGUGCCUAACACAUGCAAGUCGAGCGGGGAGAGAUUUUCGGAUUUCUCUUUAGCGGCGGACGGGUGAGUAACACGUGGGUAACCUGCCUCAAAGAGGGGGAUAGCCUUCCGAAAGGAAGAUUAAUACCGCAUAAAAUCAUAGCACUGCAUGGUGCUGUGAUCAAAGGAGCAAUCCGCUUUGAGAUGGACCCGCGGCGCAUUAGCUAGUUGGUGAGGUAACGGCCCACCAAGGCGACGAUGCGUAGCCGACCUGAGAGGGUGAUCGGCCACAUUGGAACUGAGACACGGUCCAGACUCCUACGGGAGGCAGCAGUGGGGAAUAUUGCACAAUGGGGGAAACCCUGAUGCAGCAACGCCGCGUGAGUGAUGAAGGCCUUCGGGUCGUAAAGCUCUUUGAUCAGGGACGAUAAUGACGGUACCUGAAAAACAAGCCACGGCUAACUACGUGCCAGCAGCCGCGGUAAUACGUAGGUGGCGAGCGUUGUCCGGAUUUACUGGGCGUAAAGAAUGCGUAGGUGGAUAUUUAAGUGGGAUGUGAAAUCCCCGGGCUCAACCCGGGAACUGCAUACCAAACUGGAUAUCUGGAGUGCAGGGAGAGGAAAGCG